AGUGAACGCUGGCGGUAGGCCUAACACAUGCAAGUCGAACGGCAGCACAGUAAGAGCUUGCUCUUACGGGUGGCGAGUGGCGGACGGGUGAGGAAUACAUCGGAAUCUACUUUUUCGUGGGGGAUAACGUAGGGAAACUUACGCUAAUACCGCAUACGACCUACGGGUUAAAGCAGGGGAUCUUCGGACCUUGCGCGAUUGAAUGAGCCGAUGUCGGAUUAGCUAGUUGGCGGGGUAAAGGCCCACCAAGGCGACGAUCCGUAGCUGGUCUGAGAGGAUGAUCAGCCACACUGGAACUGAGACACGGUCCAGACUCCUACGGGAGGCAGCAGUGGGGAAUAUUGGACAAUGGGCGCAGGCCUGAUCCAGCCAUACCGCGUGGGUGAAGAAGGCCUUCGGGUUGUAAAGCCCUUUUGUUGGGAAAGAAAAGCAGCAGGUUAAUACCCCGCUGUUCUGACGGUACCCAAAGAAUAAGCACCGGCUAACUUCGUG
This 492-nucleotide ribosomal RNA is filed under the name uncultured bacterium. RNAcentral describes it as "partial 16S ribosomal RNA". It matches the Rfam family "Bacterial small subunit ribosomal RNA", at positions 29 to 507 of the family's 1533-position model. The record is from RNAcentral.